RNAcentral lists this ribosomal RNA (242 nucleotides) under uncultured bacterium. Its description in RNAcentral is "partial 16S ribosomal RNA". It matches the Rfam family "Bacterial small subunit ribosomal RNA", at positions 92 to 334 of the family's 1533-position model. The record is from RNAcentral.
UGAGCGGCGGACGGGUGAGUAACGCGUGGGUAACCUGCCUCAUACAGGGGGAUAACAGUUGGAAACGGCUGCUAAUACCGCAUAAGCGCACAGUACCGCAUGGUACGGUGUGAAAAACUCCGGUGGUAUGAGAUGGACCCGCGUCUGAUUAGGUAGUUGGUGGGGUAACGGCCUACCAAGCCGACGAUCAGUAGCCGACCUGAGAGGGUGACCGGCCACAUUUGGACUGAGACACGGCCCAA